RNAcentral lists this ribosomal RNA (783 nucleotides) under Dracograllus ngakei. Its description in RNAcentral is "SSU rRNA". It matches the Rfam family "Eukaryotic small subunit ribosomal RNA", at positions 170 to 955 of the family's 1831-position model. The record is from RNAcentral. Lineage: Eukaryota; Metazoa; Nematoda; Chromadorea; Desmodorida; Draconematidae.
CAUGCAAACAAGCUCCAACCUCACGGAAGGAGCGCAUUUAUUAGACCAAGACCAAUCAGGCCUCGGCCUGGAAUCUGGUGACUCUGAAUAACUUUGCUGAUCACAUGGUCUUAGUACCGGUGACGUAUCUUUCAAGUGUCUGCCCUAUCAACUUUCGAUGGUAGGUUAUGUGCCUACCAUGGUUGUAACGGGUAACGGAGAAUAAGGGUUCGACUCCGGAGAGGGAGCCUGAGAAAUGGCUACCACAUCCAAGGAAGGCAGCAGGCGCGCAAAUUACCCACUCUCAGCUCGAGGAGGUAGUGACGAAAAAUAACGAGACGGUUCUCUAUGAGGCCCGUCAUCGGAAUGGGUACAAUUUAAACCCUUUAACGAGGAUCUAUUGGAGGGCAAGUCUGGUGCCAGCAGCCGCGGUAAUUCCAGCUCCAAUAGCAUAUACCAAUACUGUUGCUGUUAAAAAGCUCGUAGUUGGAUCGAUUCCAAGGACGGAGUCUGCCUAAACGGCACGCACUUCGCUCUGAGGAUGUUUUAGCUGGUUUUCCCUUGGUGCACUUAACUGGGUGCCUUGGGUGGCUAGCAAGUUUACUUUGAAAAAAUUAGAGUGCUCAGAACAGGCGUUACUGCCCGAAUAGUGGUGCAUGGAAUAAUGGAAUAGGAUCUCGGUUCUAUUUUGUUGGUUUUAGGAGCGCGAGAUAAUGAUUAAGAGGGACAGACGGGGGCAUUCGUACUGCGGCGUUAGAGGUGAAAUUCUUGGAUCGCCGCAUGACGAACAACUGCGAAAGCAUU